AGUGAACGCUGGCGGUAGGCCUAACACAUGCAAGUCGAACGGCAGCACAGUAAGAGCUUGCUCUUACGGGUGGCGAGUGGCGGACGGGUGAGGAAUACAUCGGAAUCUACUUUUUCGUGGGGGAUAACGUAGGGAAACUUACGCUAAUACCGCAUACGACCUACGGGUGAAAGCAGGGGAUCUUCGGACCUUGCGCGAUUGAAUGAGCCGAUGUCGGAUUAGCUAGUUGGCGGGGUAAAGGCCCACCAAGGCGACGAUCCGUAGCUGGUCUGAGAGGAUGAACAGGCCAACUGGGAACUGAGACAGGGCCAAGACCCCGGCGGGAGGCACCAGUGGGAAUAUUUGAAAAAGGGGGGCAAGCUGGACCCGCCCAUCCCGGGGGGGAAAAGACGGCUUUGGGUUGUAAAGCCCUUUUGGUGGGAAAAAAAAAGAAGCAGUUAAAUCCCCCGGUUUUUGGAGGGAACCAAAAAAAAAAGCACGGGCAAGUUUGGGC
RNAcentral lists this ribosomal RNA (493 nucleotides) under uncultured bacterium. RNAcentral's name for it is "partial 16S ribosomal RNA". It matches the Rfam family "Bacterial small subunit ribosomal RNA", at positions 29 to 508 of the family's 1533-position model. The record is from RNAcentral.